This is a long non-coding RNA of Nicrophorus vespilloides, 460 nucleotides long. RefSeq lists it as uncharacterized. The transcript has 2 exons. The record is from RefSeq and is a predicted model, not a curated record. NCBI's taxonomy places the organism in Eukaryota, Metazoa, Arthropoda, Insecta, Coleoptera, Silphidae.
AUCGCGUUAAUAUCUAUCUAUCAAUAGAAUGGCAACAUGGUGUGGGCGUGUCCAACAGGUAAACAAAUCGGAACGUGUUCUGUGAUCGCAUGCGGUAAUUCGAUUGGUUGUGAUACUAACCAUAAUGAUAUCCUGUGCUUCGGAUAGUCCAGCCUCUCCAAAUGUGUAAGGAAAUAGGGCAGAGUGUGCCCUUUGUUUCUGAUGAGCACGCCGACCACGACGGUCGGCUCUUUCACCUCUGCCAGCAAGCAUUGUUCCAGACUACAAACUAAAGGAAAUUAAUACUAAGAAUCGGGAACGCCGCCGCUCCGAUCGAUGCAUGAACUUGAGAUGUUUUGGCUCGUCUGCAACCAAGCCAACGCGGCUCCAGAUGUUUUCAGACGGCCAUGUUUUCAGGAUUUCAACAUGUGGCGGGAAUAAUUUAAAACGUACAUAAAAUUUAUUAUAGAAUGACUCUUGU